RNAcentral lists this long non-coding RNA (515 nucleotides) under Triticum aestivum (bread wheat). RNAcentral describes it as "long non-coding RNA (TAES_LNC010731)". Lineage: Eukaryota; Viridiplantae; Streptophyta; Magnoliopsida; Poales; Poaceae. The record is from RNAcentral.
GAGCUUGUUUUGUAGCUUAACUGAUUCCAGAGUUGUUAUUUUCAGGUAGGUUCAGAGUGGUGAGACUGUACAGUUGUCUGAACUUCCGGCCACCGUGGUUUAUGCUUACCAUGUUGCUACUCUUGUUUUUCAGGAUCCUCAUCUUGGAGCAUUUCAUCUUGUGGCCCUCGGUGUUGAAGAAGAAUGGGAAAGCGCAACUCGAACAAUGUCAAGAAGAGCAUCUGGCAGCUCCUCUGCGGCUGUGGGUCGCCUCAGACAAGAAACUAAUUAAGAUCAGAAGAGCUCCUCUGUUGUUGUGGUUCACCAUAUGUGAAGGUCUUUAAUAUAGGUCGCCAGAAGUUGCUUUAUGUUGAGUUUAAGAAGUGUAUAUGUGAUUAGAUAUUGCUAAGUUCUUUGGUUGAAUUGGUUUGUAGUGGUGUGGUUGUGUCAUGCUAGCUUCUUCUGCAGCAAGGAGCAUGUAAACGCGUGUCAUGUGAUCAGAUUCAGAAAUAAAUCUUGCAAACUUGUUAUGUUUA